This 1264-nucleotide ribosomal RNA is filed under the name Lactiplantibacillus pentosus. RNAcentral's name for it is "bacterial SSU rRNA". Lineage: Bacteria; Bacillati; Bacillota; Bacilli; Lactobacillales; Lactobacillaceae. The record is from RNAcentral.
GAACUGGUGAGUAACACGUGGGAAACCUGCCCAGAAGCGGGGGAUAACACCUGGAAACAGAUGCUAAUACCGCAUAACAACUUGGACCGCAUGGUCCGAGUUUGAAAGAUGGCUUCGGCUAUCACUUUUGGAUGGUCCCGCGGCGUAUUAGCUAGAUGGUGRGGUAACGGCUCACCAUGGCAAUGAUACGUAGCCGACCUGAGAGGGUAAUCGGCCACAUUGGGACUGAGACACGGCCCAAACUCCUACGGGAGGCAGCAGUAGGGAAUCUUCCACAAUGGACGAAAGUCUGAUGGAGCAACGCCGCGUGAGUGAAGAAGGGUUUCGGCUCGUAAAACUCUGUUGUUAAAGAAGAACAUAUCUGAGAGUAACUGUUCAGGUAUUGACGGUAUUUAACCAGAAAGCCACGGCUAACUACGUGCCAGCAGCCGCGGUAAUACGUAGGUGGCAAGCGUUGUCCGGAUUUAUUGGGCGUAAAGCGAGCGCAGGCGGUUUUUUAAGUCUGAUGUGAAAGCCUUCGGCUCAACCGAAGAAGUGCAUCGGAAACUGGGAAACUUGAGUGCAGAAGAGGACAGUGGAACUCCAUGUGUAGCGGUGAAAUGCGUAGAUAUAUGGAAGAACACCAGUGGCGAAGGCGGCUGUCUGGUCUGUAACUGACGCUGAGGCUCGAAAGUAUGGGUAGCAAACAGGAUUAGAUACCCUGGUAGUCCAUACCGUAAACGAUGAAUGCUAAGUGUUGGAGGGUUUCCGCCCUUCAGUGCUGCAGCUAACGCAUUAAGCAUUCCGCCUGGGGAGUACGGCCGCAAGGCUGAAACUCAAAGGAAUUGACGGGGGCCCGCACAAGCGGUGGAGCAUGUGGUUUAAUUCGAAGCUACGCGAAGAACCUUACCAGGUCUUGACAUACUAUGCAAAUCUAAGAGAUUAGACGUUCCCUUCGGGGACAUGGAUACAGGUGGUGCAUGGUUGUCGUCAGCUCGUGUCGUGAGAUGUUGGGUUAAGUCCCGCAACGAGCGCAACCCUUAUUAUCAGUUGCCAGCAUUAAGUUGGGCACUCUGGUGAGACUGCCGGUGACAAACCGGAGGAAGGUGGGGAUGACGUCAAAUCAUCAUGCCCCUUAUGACCUGGGCUACACACGUGCUACAAUGGAUGGUACAACGAGUUGCGAACUCGCGAGAGUAAGCUAAUCUCUUAAAGCCAUUCUCAGUUCGGAUUGUAGGCUGCAACUCGCCUACAUGAAGUCGGAAUCGCUAGUAAUCGCGGAUCA